CAGUCGCCGCGGGAAUACAGAGGGUGCAAGCGUUAAUCGGAAUUACUGGGCGUAAAGCGCGCGUAGGUGGUUUGUUAAGUUGGAUGUGAAAGCCCCGGGCUCAACCUGGGAACUGCAUCCAAAACUGGCAAGCUAGAGUACGGUAGAGGGUGGUGGAAUUUCCUGUGUAGCGGUGAAAUGCGUAGAUAUAGGAAGGAACACCAGUGGCGAAGGCGACCACCUGGACUGAUACUGACACUGAGGUGCGAAAGCGUGGGGAGCAAACAGGAUUAGAUACCCCAGUAGUCCCUGUCUCUUAUCC
Molecule: ribosomal RNA, 301 nt
Filed under: uncultured bacterium
Lineage: Bacteria
Description: partial 16S ribosomal RNA
Rfam family: Bacterial small subunit ribosomal RNA
Source: RNAcentral